Non-coding RNA from Cucumis melo (muskmelon), 164 nucleotides. NCBI's taxonomy places the organism in Eukaryota, Viridiplantae, Streptophyta, Magnoliopsida, Cucurbitales, Cucurbitaceae. The record is from Rfam.
AUACUUACCUGGACGGGGUUAUUGGGCGAUCAAGAAGGCCCAUGGCCUGGGUUGGUGGCCUCCAUUGCACAAUGAGGAGGGGUGCCAGCCUAAGGUCUGCUCAAAGUAGCAGAGCCUACGUCAUUAUUUGUUGCUGUGGGGGCCUGCGUUCGCGCGGCCCCUAC